RNAcentral lists this ribosomal RNA (301 nucleotides) under uncultured bacterium. Its description in RNAcentral is "partial 16S ribosomal RNA". It matches the Rfam family "Bacterial small subunit ribosomal RNA", at positions 509 to 807 of the family's 1533-position model. The record is from RNAcentral.
CAGCCGCCGCGGGAAUACGGAGGAUCCAAGCGUUAUUCGGAAUCAUUGGGUUUAAAGGGUCCGUAGGCGGUCUUGUAAGUCAGUGGUGAAAGCCCAUCGCUCAACGGUGGAACGGCCAUUGAUACUGCAGGACUUGAAUUAUUGGGAAGUAACUAGAAUAUGUAGUGUAGCGGUGAAAUGCUUAGAGAUUACAUGGAAUACCAAUUGCGAAGGCAGGUUACUACCAAUUGAUUGACGCUGAUGGACGAAAGCGUGGGUAGCGAACAGGAUUAGAUACCCCAGUAGUCCCUGUCUCUUAUAC